GAAAAGUGUGAAAAUUCAAGGAAACAAGUGACAAAAGGUAAGAUUUUUCAAUUCUAGCUUGUGAUCUACAUUUUCUAUGCAUUAUUUUGCAUUUUCCGUGGUUGAAUCACAAGAUAUCAUGAAGGAUUCAUGGCUGACCGAAUUUAGAGAGAGAAGAUUUGAUGAUUGAUUUGGUUAGAUUUUGAGAUAUUUUAGUGUUUUUAGUUAUUUAGUGUUGUGUAGCAUGAAAAGCCAACAAGAAAAAUUCAUUUUCUCCCAUCACCCAUCAUUGGUCGAAUUCUGCAUGUAGAAUAUUGAUGAUGAUUUUGAUUUUAUUUCAAGUGAUUUGGUUAGGAAUUAGUGAUUUAUGGUGUGAGAAUCAAGCUUGAAAAAUUAUAAUGUUGAUGCACCCACCAUGGCCAAAUUUUCCAAGAGAAAAUGUGAGGAUGAUUUUGCCAUAUUUCAAGUUAUUUAAUUUUUGUUUGAUGAUUUGGAGUAUUGGGAGAAAAAUGAAAUUAUUUGGAGUUGAAUUGGACGUAUUGGCCAAUUAAUCGAGUGAUAGAUCGAAUUAGGCCAAUAUCGUUUAAUUUAGGUACACAAAUGAAUUUGUGUAGAACACCGUGUUUAGACGAUAAUCCGAACAAUUUGCAUUCCAUUUCAUGCAUUAGUAAAGAGCCUGAAAUAGAUUUAUAAUGGUAUGACACAGUAUAUUGAAUUAUGUGUCGUGUAUUAUAUAUAGGUGGUGAGCCCUCUAACAAGGGUAAAGACGUUGUGUCAGAGGACUGAGAAUAGGAGUAUUUCAAACUCCUGAUACUGUGAGUAACCUUACUAUUGUCUUAAUUAUCUAAAGUAGUUUUCAAUCGUUUUUGUGAUUUUAUGGAAAAUGAGUUUAAAUGGUAAAUCUUUAUGUUUUAUAAGCAAAAUGUGAUUAAAUGAAAAUGAUUUUAUAAAAUUGUCUUGAAAUUGAAAGAUGGUUUUGAAAAUGGAGUAAUUAGAGACUAAUUGUUGUGUUAUAAAUCAUGGUUUGAAUUGAAUGGCUUAUGAUAAUAUUGGCAUGAAUGGUUUAUUUGGUAAAUGUGCUGAAAAUGUAUGAACUGUUAAUUUUCCUUGAGAGGCUGUAAAAUAAAAUAAUUGCCAUGUCAUGCUAUUGCAAAUUUUAUUGUAUGGUGGGUUAUAAAUUAGUCGCUACAGUGGACUGGUUCCAUGGACCAGCCUAUUAGAGGGGCACGGUAACCCUAUUAUAUUCAUAUCUCAGUAUGAGAGGCGUAGUUGGAUAACUCCUGAGGUUAAAACUUUAGAGUUCACUUCACGCCAAACCAUCACGUGAGGGUGAACUCAGCCAACACCAAGGAAUGGCUAUGUUUUCAAAAUAAAAACAUGAUUUAUGCGUACAUAACUUUUUAACAGCCUUGGCGGACUCAGUUGGGAUAGCCCUCGAUCAAGGUAUCCUUGAUAACUGGGUAUGAGAAUGAUUUUGGCAUGAGCCAAAGUUUUAAGAAAUUCAUAAGCCAUGUUGAUUACUUGAUUUAUAUGAAUUGAUUUUAUUUGGUUGAAACAAGUUGAAAGGUGAUGAAUUACAGUAUGUUAAACUAUUUUAUUUGUCUCCAUUUACUCGGCUUUAGAUAUUUUAGAUGGUAUUUAUUUACUGAUUGGGAUUAUAUAAUCUCACAACGCUCCUUUCCACCCAUUUCAAGCUCAGAAUAGGUUGUAGAUAGCUGAUUUCAUCGAGGCUACCAUUGGAUUUGCAUCCUCCAAAUUGUAGGUUCACAGUCUUCCUUACUUUUAGUUGUUCGGGGGCCCACUGGUUAUUGUAAAUUAAAUUAAAUACCCUGGCUUACUAUAUUACAGUAUGUAUGAAUUUAUUUUGCUUUUACGCUGCAAAAAAAUUAUUUACGUAUAACUCUAAAAAUAUUGUUUUAUACGAAAAUAGAAUAUUUUAUUGAAUAUUUCUUUUAUUUUUUUAUUAUAUCCAAAUAAUCAUAAUUUCAUUUUAAAUGAAGGUUUUAGAUGUUUAAACUUAUUUUUUAUUACGAUUUAUGUGUUUUGUUCUAGCAUACUACAUUUUUAACGGAUUUUGAGAUUUUUAAUGAAAAAUAACCAAAAUACCCCUAUGAGAAAAAAUUGUUUUUCUAUUGUGUUGAUUUGGAAAUAGUUUAUAAUCUCUCAAAACAUAAUUUUAGUGACUAAUACUCACAGGGGAAGCAAGAAAAACUGAUGUUAAGCCUUGCGAGGUUUCGAUUGACAUUCCGAUUAAUGAAUGUUUAUCGGGACGUCACGGCAGUUAUCACGGGCUCGAUGAGAGUUCCGGGUCGUGACAAUUAGAUUGGUAUCAGAGCUUUUGAUUUUAAAGCUUAGAGCUUUUGGGUUUAAAGUUGUUUUAAAGUUGUUUUAAAAUUUAUAGUGUCAGUGUAGCCCAAGUUAAGUUAAGUUAAGUCAGGUUAGGUUGAAUAAAAUGCAUGCGUCUGCAUAUAGAGUCUGAGGUUGUCUAAACUUGCUUGUUUCCUCUUAUAGAUUAUCAUGCCUCCUCGACGUGAACACCCACCUCUCACUAGAUCGGUUGGGAGGGGAAGAGGUCGUUCUCAACAUCGUCAGCUAGUUCCUAUAGAGGGGGAAUCGACUGCGUCUACUAUUCGAGCAGCACCUGUUGCUGAGCAGAUCGAGACUCCUCCACAUCCUUCACCUCCUCCGCCACUUACUAGUAUUCCUGCCAUGCCUCUUGAGACAGUUCAGGCAUUGGCAGCCUUUUUUACUGCUAUUGCUGGCUAGGCUCAGGUUGGUCAAGCUCUUCCUACAGUUCCUCCAGCUGCUCCUUCAGUACCACCACCCCUACCUCCUAUCCCACCACUAGUGUUGAAUGUUUCUAAUUCUAAGAAGCUUAAAGAGGCUAGGCAACAUGGUUGCACUUCUUUUAUGGGUGAGUCGGAUGCAAUCAUAGCUAAAGAGGUGGUGCAAAUGGCUUUAAGAGUUGAGAAGCUUGCAAAUGAAAAUAGGAGAAUGCGAGCUGAGUUAGCAAAAAGGAGAAAUUUGAGUGUAUCUUCUAGUCAGCCACCAAAAAGGGGCAAAGACUCAUCUGUUUUAGGAAGUACCACUACUAUUUCAGUAACAUCUUCCCGACCUCCAUUUUCAUAAACACAGUAGAGGCCUUCGAGAUUUAACAAAUCUACGGUGACUAUUUCUGGGAAGAGUUUCAGAGGUUCUGAUAGAUGCUGAAAUUAUGGGAGAUAUCAUGUCGGGCUAUGUAGAGGGCUUGUAAGAUGUUUUUAUUAUGGUCAGCCUGGUCACAUUAGAAGAGAUUGCCCACAGUUAGGACGGGCUACGGUAGCUGCUCCAUCUCCACUAGCUCGUACGGAUAUGCAAAGGAGAGAUUCCUUUGGAUUACCACCGAGACAGGGAUGAUUUUGACAUACCACCAAGGGUAGAUUAAAUAUGUUGAAAUUAGUGUUCUAAUAAAGUACAUAUGAUAGAAAGCUAGUUUUGUAAAUUGUAGUUUCUAUGAUCAUGAAACUUUUGAACUAAUAAUAAGAUAAGUAAAAGAUGUUGAUUCAGGUGGAUUAAUUUCAUGACAAUUUUAAGUUGAAAUGAUUGGACUAUAUGAGUUGUAAGACAAAGAAGACCAGCAGUUGUGAAUACUAAGGAAUUGUGGAACACUAGAAAACAAUGAAUAAUUAUGUGUGUGGUAUCAAACGUAUAUGGUGAAGUCACUAUACAAUAUGGAAAGAGUAUUCUCAAGUGGGAUUUAUUGACUGAUGAUAAGUGGUGUGCAAUCUGAGAUACAUGUAGCUAUGAAUAAAUUUGGAGAUUUUUGCUUAAGCAAACUCGUACUAAACGUUAUGGUAAAGAUAUAUGAAUGUUAGUGGAAAAAUAAAUAUGUUAAAUCAAUGUUCUGAUCGCGCACUUGUGAUAGAAAGUUAGUCUUGCUAAUUAUGGUAUAGAUUCAGAGGGAAGCCACACGAUUGUGAAUAAUUGAGGUAGUAACUUUAAAGGUAGAAGAGUUGCUGGGAUAAAGUAAAUUCAAACAGUUGCAAUGCUACAGUACUGACUAUCAAAAGCUGUCGCGUUAAAAAUCGCUUAUGGUUAGAAAGCAUGAGCAGACUAUGAGCGGCAUAAAGAUCAAACUCGCGAGUUGAAAUAUGGUUAUUGGUUUUGAUGCUAAGCUUUGUUGUUUGGAGUCUUAAGUGAAUUGGGGAGGUAUUAAGAUAAAGAUGAUGAGUGAAAUUGCAGAGUUUCUUUAUUGCCUUAUAUAUUGGCAUGUAAGAGAAAGAAAAGUUAGAGAGUUUUUGAGAUGGCUACAUAAAAAUAAAUUAACAUGUGGAGUGUUAAGAUGAAUAAUAUGAUGACUGAAGUCAAAUCUUAAGAAAUAAAGAAGACAAGAGAUUAAGUCUUGUUAAAGACUAAAAAGGAAACGUGCGAAAGGUUAGAUGAAUGUAUGAGAUAUUGAUAAAAGAUGUCAAUACCAAGUGAGGAAAAUGGAAAUAAAGAUUUCAAUAAUGAUAUAGCAAAUGAGUUUAUAUAGAAUAUUGUUAUGAGAAUAUACUGAUCUUGUCUUGACCUUGUUGAAAGGAAAGGAUUAGUAACAACACAAGUAAACUAGGUGAUAUGCUAGAAACCCUUGGAGAUAAAUUAAAGCAUGAGUAGUUGGGCAUGCCUUUAUGGAAAUGAUAUACCUGGUGUAUAAAAGAGCAAAUAAGUGAUUAAGUGUUUUAAGAAUGUUUAAACGCUUUUGAGAAAGAAUUAUAAGUUAUACAUGAUGAGCAUAAGAUGCGUGACUUUGAAACUUGUUAAGGAGCCAACGGCUAAGUCUUGGGUUAAGUGAUCACCUGUUGUGAGACAUAAGUUUAAGAUAGAUAUCCCCAAGGAAAUACUCAAUAGUAGUUCUGCCCUGGAUCUCUUGAGAGCAAGUACUAAGUUAUGUGGUUAUAAAAAGGAAGCUAUAAAUUGAGAGUGAUAUUAGUAUUGACAUUGAAAAGUACUUGAGGAGAAUCUAGUUUUAAGUCUUGCAAUUUCAAGUACAAUUUGUAAAUUGGUUAAGGGAGAAUGAUGUUAUCUUCGUAUGAAAGAGUGGAACAAAGGAUGAUAGAAGUUGACCUUGAUAAUGAAGUCAGAUAAUGAAACUUUUCUAAUAUAUUAUGGAAAUUGGAAUUCGAAAAUGCUUGAGGUAUACAUGAUUCAAAUGAGUUUGAGUUUUAAGUGACAAAUCAAUAUUGGAAUGCAAGAAGGAUACAAGGUAAUGUAGAGGCAUGAAGAAUAAUCGAGGAAAAAGGAUGACUCUUAGGAAUUGUGGUAUUGCAUAAGAUGCAAUGAUCAAGUUAAGAUAAAUCUUUGAAGUAUCAAUGGGAUUAUAAAGCAUACACGCAUAAUAGAUUAUAAUUCAAUGGAGAUGACAUUGUGAUGCAGUGAUAUAUAGUAUAAGAAAACUUAAGCAUAUAAUUGGAAAUGAUAAAAAGAGAGUAUAAGUAUGUAAAUGAUGUAGAACUAUGCACAGGCAUGAUGAGAAUUUGUAUGAAUUAUGAAGAUUAUUCUCUUGAAUCUUGGUUAUGGAUGGGAAUGAACAAAGAGAAAUUAGUCUGAAGGCAUUUGAAAACAGAGACCCGUAUACAUAAUGAGGAAUAUGGACAUUUGAAUGUGCGUGUAUACGUAUGUGUGGAGUUAGUGAUGUACCCAACUAAAAUGAAGAAUGGUUUUAGUGGUUCGAGAUCUGAACUCAAUAUAUUUGAUGAGUUGUAUAGAUAAUGUAACGAUUAAGAAUCUUAUCAGAAGACGAUUUAUGGUGACCUAAGGAAUUUUGGAGAAAUAGUUAAGGGAAUAUAAUCUAUAGUACGAUUAAGCCAUAUGAGAUGGAUUAAUAGGAUUAAGAAGAUUGAAAUUUCCUAAAUGCAAAGUAAACAUGAAAUAUGUAGAAAUAAUUAAAGCCAUUAAUUUUCCUGAACGCUGAGGAUAUGUACAGGAAUGAGUAUGGCGUGUUAAUGAUGUUGUAAACUACACAAUAGUGUAUGAGGAUAGGAUGAAUGAAUGAAAGUCGAGAAAUUUGAUAUGGAAUGAAGUAAUAAGAUAGUGAUUGGUAUACCUAAAUAAGUAUAAAAUGCGAUCGAAAUUGGUAUGAUUGAGAUGGAGUUAUGGUUCAAGUUUAAUGAUAGUAAUAGAAGCAUGCUUGGUGUCUCGAUAUAAGAGAUCAUAAUUGUGAAGGUUACUGUUGAUCUGAUUUUAAAGGAUAAUAAUAGACAUAAGUGAAGUACUCGAGUUGAAUUGGAGGUAAAUGAGGUGAACAAAUCGAAAUUCCCUAUAAAGGGGAGGACAUAAGAAGUCGAGCAUUAGAUGAGAAAACAAUACCCUCACCUUUUCUCUGAGUUCAGUAAAUGAAAUUUUGAGGUCAAAAUUUUAUUUUAAGGGGGGUAGUGCUAUCAAGCCCAGCUCUACAAUAUGUUUAUUAUGCCAUUCUUACAUAAGAAUGCAUGUUUGCUUACUUGGGUACCUUGGAAAUCGUUAAAGGACGGUAAUGUACCAAAUGGUACAACUAAGUUGAAUUAAGCCUCGAACUAGUCCAAAUAGAGAUUUUAAAAUGAAAUUGAGAAUUUUAAAACCCCAGAAUGACUUAAAAUGGUGAUUCGGAGUUCGAGGACUGAUUUGGAGUCAAAUUGAAAUUUUCAUGACCUAGGGGCAAAAUGGUCAUUUUGCCACCCGAGGUUAAAAUUGGAAUGUUGGAAGAAGUUUUUGAUCAAGAUUGACUAUUUAGAACAUAAUUUGAGUUUGAGAAGUGAAAAAUUUUAAUUUUGGCAAUUUUUCGAGCAUAAGGGUAAAAUAGUCAUUUUGCCACCCCAAGGGCAAAAUUGUAAUUUUACACCACCCAACACUUGUCCAACACAUGGAUUUUACCCAAUAUUAUCAUGGAUAAUUGAGGAAAUUUAAGUGGUGGAGAGAGAUUGCUUAAUGGGUAAGUAUGACACAUGGACCAAUGGAAUGGUGACAUGUGUCAAAUUCUCAUCCAUUUAUUAUUUUCCUUAUAAAUUAGCACAAAAUCAGCCCAUUUCUCUUCAUAUGGCCGGCCAAAGCAAGAACAAAGGAAGAAAAGAAAGAACAAGAACCCUAGGGUGAAAAUUCAAGAGAAAAUUGGUGGAUUUCAAGUAAUCAAGCAAUCAAAGGUAAAAUUUCUUGAUUUUGACUUGUGAUCUACCUUUCCCAUACAUUCUUUUGCAUUUUCCAUGGUUGAAUCACAUGAUUUCAUGAUGGGUAUCUUGCUGGCUGAACACUUAGAGAGAGGUUUUGAUGCUUGAUUUGGUUAGAUUUCAAUGUAUUUUAGUGUUUUUAGUUAGUUAGUGAUGUGUAGCAUGAAAAGCCAACAAGAAAAAUUCAUUUUCUCCCAUCACCCAUCAUUGGCCGAAUUCUCCAUGUAGAAUAUUGAUGAUGAUUUUGAUUUUAUUUCAAGUGAUUUGGUUAGGAAUUAGUGAUUUAUGGUGUGAGAAUCAAGCUUGAAAAAUUAUAAUGUUGAUGCACCCACCAUGGCCGAAUUUUCCAAGAGAAAAUGUGAGGAUGAUUUUGCCAUAUUUCAAGUUAUUUAAUUUGUGUUUGAUGAUUUGGAGUAUUGGGAGAAAAAUGAAAUUAUUUGUAGUUGAAUUAGACGUAUUGGCCAAUUAAUCGAGUGACAGAUCGAAUUAGGCCAAUACCAUUUAAUUUAGGUACACAAUUGAAUUUGUAAAACACCGUGUUUAAACGAUAAUCCGAACAAUUGGCAUUCCAUUUCAUGCAUUAGUAAAGAGCCUGAAAUAGAUUUAUAAUGGUAUGACACAGUAUAUUGAAUUAUGUGUCGUGUAUUGUAUAUAGGUGGUGAGCCCUCUAACAAGGGUAAAGACGUUGUGUCAGAGGACUGAGAAUAGGAGUAUUUCAAACUCCUAAUACUGUGAGUAACCUUACUAUCGUCUUAAUUAUCCAAAGUAGUUUUUAAUCGUUUUUGUGAUUUUAUGGAAAAUGAGUUUAAAUGGUAAAUCUUUAUGUUUUAUAAGCAAAAUGUGAUUAAAUGAAAAUGAUUUUAUAAAAUUGUCUUGAAAUUGAAAGAUGGUUUUGAAAAUGGAGUAAUUGGAGACUAAUUGUUG
This 8063-nucleotide long non-coding RNA is filed under the name Theobroma cacao (cacao). Its description in RNAcentral is "long non-coding RNA (TCAC_LNC003928)". Lineage: Eukaryota; Viridiplantae; Streptophyta; Magnoliopsida; Malvales; Malvaceae. The record is from RNAcentral.